AACACUCUUUUUGUUUUUUUUGGGUGUAUGAUUGUUCCGUUUCUCGGAUUUUUUUUUCGGCUUUGUCCGAAUUUUCUUCCGUUGCGGAUAGUAGGUUUGUCUUUGCUUUUCCUUUAGAAGAUCAAUCUAAUUUCGUUUGAUUUGAGGGGUUUUCUCUGUAAGUUAGUUAUGCUUAGAUCCUUGAUUUAGAAACGAAACAAUCUCUGUUUGAUUAAAAUCUUUUAGACAGAGUCUCCUUGCAAGUCAAGUGUCUGUGUGUUUUGGAUUUUACUUUAGUGAAGAUAAACAGAAUCAGAUAAGUUGAAGCUUUCUAGAAGGUGUUUCAACAAGAUCCAUGGCGACCGUAUGAAGGAAGAGCUUGCAAGCAGAUUCAAGCAAAACGAGAUUGGAGAACGAUGAUGCUCAACCGCCAUGCUUUACGGUGAACAAAUCACGGUCUCUGUACUCUGUUUCACAAUGAUAUUGGUUUUGUUUAUUGUUUUUGUUUUUGUUUGUUACUCCUUUUAUUUAUUCAGAACUUAAUUUAUCGUUUUGUGUCAAAAUCUUUGCGUCUCUCUUUUGCAGAAUGAAACUAACCUUUGUUAAUCAGCUUCUGAUGAUGAAAUGUGGAAGCAAAGUUCUACGUGGUAGAAGCCUAGGACAUCACUCCCAAGAACUUGAAUACUUUGAGGCUGUUGAAGGGGUUCUAAAGAUCAAGGACGGAUAUAAUCCUGCAACGUGAAUGCUUGAAGAUGGACAUUCACAUUGGAGUACCUUAUUGCACAAAAAAAUAUUAAUUUUAUAAUUAUUGCACAAUGUCAACAAAUAAAAUUUAUAAAAUCAGUGUAUUUGCAAAAAUAA
Molecule: RNA transcript, 840 nt
Organism: Raphanus sativus (radish)
Lineage: Eukaryota; Viridiplantae; Streptophyta; Magnoliopsida; Brassicales; Brassicaceae
Exons: 3
Source: RefSeq, a predicted model, not a curated record